Long non-coding RNA from Hippocampus zosterae (dwarf seahorse), 1181 nucleotides. RefSeq lists it as uncharacterized. The transcript has 2 exons. NCBI's taxonomy places the organism in Eukaryota, Metazoa, Chordata, Actinopteri, Syngnathiformes, Syngnathidae. The record is from RefSeq and is a predicted model, not a curated record.
CGAGCAAAUCUGUUCUGCCGACUACUUCCAGUCAGGACUCGCGCUAUCCACCCCGGGUGCGCUCCAUCCAGUGUGUCAUCACCUUCAUGGUCAAGCCGGCCCAAUCAACAUCUUCCGUGACCAACAGGCCGAGUGUCGGCUGGGAAGGACGACCGACCUCUGCGGCGGCCGGGGGAGGAAAAUCGAUCAGGGGAAAGUGGACAGAAGGCUAUUUGACGCCGCCAAGCUGCAGAUGUUGCUUUCUGGAGGUUACGGCUGCAGAUUGAUGAGCCCCCGUCCCUGGCCCCCGGCACAUAUUUCACACGGAUGAAUCCGCUAAACGGGGACUGGCGUUUUUACGGUUGCCUUUUUUUCGGUCCACAGGUUAGGUGGCAGGAUUAAGGGGGAGAGGCGGAUGUGGAAGUGCGGGCGAGAAAACGGGGGAAAUGCCACGCGUCGUCUUUCGGGGAGCGGAAGGUCCGAUUGAUAUGCUUUUGUAAGGACCGAAGGACCAAGUGCUGAAAGGCGACUUUGGACUUGCUUCUGGGACCAGUGGACAUUUCAUUACUCUCCAUUGUCCAAGGUGGACACGCUUAAGCCUUGGACGGGUGUUUCCGUUCCAUUUGGCGCGAUGAAUAACGAUGACGGGAGGGCCGGCGGACUUGAAAAGACGUAAGCGUGUCCAAGCUCAUGUUGGGUCAUUGAUUACCAAUGACAAACUGCUAUCGCAGAGUGGGCCAAAAUCAAUCGCUCGUUUAGCUUUCCGAGCGAAGGGCAUUGGCCAAUGGGGAAGGCGAAACAAGCCCUUGUCGCACCCCCCCCCCCUCCCCCCUCCUUCCCAACUGUAAACAACCACGACACCAUUCAUGUGAUGGACGAUUAACCUGCAGGCGCUUUACCUCGCACGUGACGCUUUUGUUUUCACACUUGCACCGCCGCGGGACUAAAUGUUGCAAUUCAUCUUUAUAUCCGUCGCGUUAUGUAUUUGGCGUCUUUUUUUUUAUGACCGUCAUUUGAGGCAUCGUGCGCUUUACGUGAUGCUCCGAGUACAUCGUCACGCCUGUCCAGCUAAUAGCGACGCAGAUACAUUGUCAUAAACACCAGGCAGGAUUGCCCGACCAUAAAGCUGAUUGAUUCUUGAUUCGUGUCGCAGUGCUCUCGUUUGACCACCAGAUGGCAAUAAAAUGCGUUCUUGGGCCUCA